This 253-nucleotide ribosomal RNA is filed under the name uncultured bacterium. Its description in RNAcentral is "partial 16S ribosomal RNA". It matches the Rfam family "Bacterial small subunit ribosomal RNA", at positions 524 to 776 of the family's 1533-position model. The record is from RNAcentral.
UACGAAGGGGGCUAGCGUUGCUCGGAAUUACUGGGCGUAAAGCGCACGUAGGCGGCUUCUUAAGUCGGUGGUGAAAUCCUGGAGCUCAACUCCAGAACUGCCUUCGAUACUGGGAAGCUCGAGUCCGGGAGAGGUGAGUGGAACUGCGAGUGUAGAGGUGAAAUUCGUAGAUAUUCGCAAGAACACCAGUGGCGAAGGCGGCUCACUGGCCCGAUACUGACGCUGAGGUGCGAAAGCGUGGGGAGCAAACGGG